Molecule: long non-coding RNA, 1262 nt
Filed under: Marmota monax (woodchuck)
Lineage: Eukaryota; Metazoa; Chordata; Mammalia; Rodentia; Sciuridae
Source: RNAcentral
GGGGGAGGCAAGGAGCCGAAGAUCACGGCCCGGCGGCUGGCCACGCCUCCAGGCCCACCUGCCCGCACCUCAACGCCACCUGCCCGCUGGCACCUGCCCCAGCCCCCCAGGAGGACUCCUUGUGCUGAUGAACAUGCAUGAGCUCUUUCAAGAUGAGGUGUGUGGGUUUUAGUCAGGAGUGUCCAGAGGUACACUCUUCACACCCAGGGAUGUCACCCCAACAAUGGGAGUGUAAAGGCGAUGAGGAGGGUGCUGUGGACAUUCAGGGCCCUGAGGCCCCGAGGGUGUCAGGUCACAGACCUGGGGGACCUCCCAGGUACUGCUGGGGGCAGUGCCCUGGGGUCAGCCCAGGACCAGAGAUGCUCAGCCACCUCCCCUGGUCGGACACUGGGCAAGCUACCUCCCGUCCUCCUUGGCUAAGUGGGGACGGUGACCUCAGUGUCCCGGUGCUUUGUUCAGCAAAUGGAGGGGACUCUGGGGAUGAGCAAAGUGGCAGACCUUAUUCUGGGGCCAGGGAAACUCCAAAAUAAGAAGUGAGCCUGGGGGACGGUGCAGUUUCCACCAAGGAUCCACAGUGGGCGGGCAGUCCUGGGCCCACUGGCUUGGAGGCCACCUGUCCCUUCCAGGUGUGCUCUCGGAUCCUCUUGGGAUAGCUCCCAGCUCAGGGUAUGCUCCUGCCAAGCUGCCCAGAGGCCGAGAGGAGCGCGCCCCUCUUCCCAUCCCCUCUCUGCAAGAGCCAGGGAGCACCCAGAACCCCAGAAUUCCUCUCUUGACUUGGCCAAAAUUGCACCCCAUUCUUUUUCAUACACCUUCGGCAGCUGAGAAAAUGGAAUUUUUGUGAUUGGCCACCAGAAAGGUAGCUUCUGGGGACAUGUUGGAAAUGUGUGUGUGUGUGUGUGUUGUAGGAUGGGGACAGGGUGCUGGAUAGUCGUCUGGGGCAGGCUGUCCUGUUUCCCACCCAAGUUCCGGUGUCCUCUGGGCACUCACCGGAGUACCAGCUGUUUGACCAUCUUAGCCGAGAACUUACACCAACUUUAGAUGGAAACAAGAUUCUUGCAAGAUUUCAAUGUGUGCGGAGGAUUCUGCUCGUGCCCACGUGUGGCCGGCAUUUCCCUUGUCCUCUGUGGCUGGCCGCUAGGGACGCUCCUCCCCUUCCAGCGGGUGCCCCCACUGUGCUGCUUCUGGGUCUGCUCAUUUGCAUAUUGAAAUAUGAUUUAUUAAAUUGCAAAUUAUUGUCCUUUUAUUUCUUUUUCACAAUCCAC